ACAAAAAAACAUAUACAUGUAGGUUUUGUGCAAGAAGAAAAAGGAGAAAAGGAGAUAUAGAAAGGCCAUGCGAACAACUGCGGCGUAAUCCUGGGGAAGAUCCGAAGAAAAGAAAAGAGGGCGAUUUGAAACAUCGGUUGGGUGAAUCGUAUUGGUUGGUAAUUUUAGCAGGUAAUACGAUAUGGGACUGAGCAAGAGAGAAAGGAAAAGCAGCUCUAAUUCAACAUCGCCUUGUGCCCAUCUCCGAGCUGCUUACCACAAUUGCUUUAACAGGUGGUACUCCGAGAAAUUUGUAAAGGGUCAGUGGAAUAAAGAGGAAUGUCUUUCCGAAUGGCAAAAAUACAGAUCUUGCCUCUCUGAACAUUUGGAUGACAAGCAUCUAAGUCGCUUCUUGCAAGCUGAAGGUGCUCUUGGUUCCAUUUUUCAAGAGGACAGUGGAAACCCAGUUGAGAAUACUGCUAAAUAGUGUCAAGAAAGGUGGAGCAUGACUCCAUGCUACACUGUAUUGUUCUGAUUUUGCUGGAGUUCGAUUCUACAUUUCAUGGACCAGCCCUUGAUUUCUUUCCCUCAAAAAAAGGUGUCAUUUAAAUAAGACAAAACAGUCUCCCGGCAAUGGACAGAAGUGAUUUGUUAAAGCUGGUUGCAAGUAACAACCAUCCUCUGUUGCAGACAUUAAUGAUACUGUUACUCGCAUAGAACUCGCAAUUCUCUGUUUAAAUUUUGCUGAGGAGUAGUCUAGUUCUAUCAUUCUAUAAUUUGUACUCUAGAUUGGAUUUUGGCUGGUAGGGACUCGACGCAGAAAGUGAAAAAUGAAGCCCACAGUUGAAAUACUAGUCAAGGUAUUUUAAAUUGUUGGUUCUGAUGUAGAAAAACUCAUUGGCGUUCAUCAACAAGGAAUUCAUUUGAUGUUUUUCACUGACCA
Durio zibethinus is the source of this 922-nucleotide non-coding RNA. The record is from RefSeq and is a predicted model, not a curated record. NCBI's taxonomy places the organism in Eukaryota, Viridiplantae, Streptophyta, Magnoliopsida, Malvales, Malvaceae.